Long non-coding RNA from Chrysemys picta bellii (western painted turtle), 759 nucleotides. RefSeq lists it as uncharacterized. NCBI's taxonomy places the organism in Eukaryota, Metazoa, Chordata, Testudines, Emydidae. The record is from RefSeq and is a predicted model, not a curated record.
AGGGACCCUGCGGAAAAGACCGAAGAGACUCGGGUUGGUCUCCAGCCGCGGCCGGAAACGCUCGGGUGACAUCCCUUGAAUACCGGAAAUUGCCGAAGGCGCUCGGCUCCCCACAAGCUUCGGAAAUAGCCGACGAGUGCGGAGACUGACAACAAGAGUACCAAUUGUGGCAGUGAUUUUGACACGUGACUUUUGCCCACUGGGAGAUAGACUGAACCAUUUCUUUACUAGAACUUUCCGCUACAAAAGCAAAGAACAACAUGCAUCUGCUGGCCUUGUGAUCACUGAGCCUUGCUUCAUUACCCAGAGAUUUGAGAAGCUGGAGUGAAUGAUGCCAAAUGCCCCCAACCCUGGCCCCUUUUCAUUGGCUGGAGAUCCUCAGUGUGAAGAAGCUGUCUGAUCUAGCAAGUCAGGUCUUCACACGCAAGCCAGAAAAGUAGGUUCUCUUCGCUGUACUCUGUUCGAAGAAACUCUCUGAAAAGGUUCCUACCAGCUGGUGUUUUCAUCAUCUUGUCAAAAUUCUGAGCCCAAGACAUAAUUUCAUCUGCAGUAGGGUUUUGGCUGCAAAAAGAAAGUAUCAUUAGAAUAUGCUUCUGUUUUUGUAAUAGUGUUUACAUACAUUGGGCCAAAUUCUCCUCAGUUACGCUGUAGUCAAGAACUAAUGAAAACAAUGGGGCUUCAUUCAUAACUAUAGAGUUUUGCACGGUGUUCACUUCUGUGUUCAUAAUCCCAAUACCAAUUAAAUUUGUUUUAUUUUAA